This 330-nucleotide ribosomal RNA is filed under the name uncultured bacterium. RNAcentral describes it as "bacterial SSU rRNA". It matches the Rfam family "Bacterial small subunit ribosomal RNA", at positions 568 to 898 of the family's 1533-position model. The record is from RNAcentral.
CGCGUAGGUGGUAGUGAAAGUCUAUGGUGGAAUCUUAGGGCUUAACCCUAAAACUGCCUUGGAAACUUCAUUACUUGAGUCAGUGAGGGGAGGGUAGAAUUCCUGGUGUAGCGGUGAAAUGCGUAGAUAUCAGGAGGAAGGCCGAUGGCGAAGGCGGCCCUCUGGCGCUGAACUGACGCUGAGGCGCGAAAGCGUGGGUAGCAAACAGGAUUAGAUACCCUGGUAGUCCACGCCCUAAACGGUGGGUACUAGGUGUAGGGCUCGUAAGGGUUCUGUGCCGAAGGGAAACCAUUAAGUACCCCGCCUGGGGAGUACGGCCGCAAGGUUGAA